Molecule: non-coding RNA, 139 nt
Organism: Biomphalaria glabrata
Lineage: Eukaryota; Metazoa; Mollusca; Gastropoda; Planorbidae
Source: Rfam
AGCUUUGCGCAGUGGCGGUACCAUAGCCAAUGAGGUUUUACCGAGGCGUGGUUAUUGCUAGUUGAAAACUAUUCCCAAUACCCCGCACAGACGACCUUAAUCGGUCGGCUAGUGCAAUUUUUUACUGCUCUUACGGGAG